AGGAAUAUUGGUCAAUGGACGAGAGUCUGAACCAGCCAAGUAGCGUGAAGGAUGACUGCCCUAUGGGUUGUAAACUUCUUUUAUACGGGAAUAAAGUGAGGCACGUGUGCCUUUUUGUAUGUACCGUAUGAAUAAGGAUCGGCUAACUCCGUGCCAGCAGCCGCGGUAAUACGGAGGAUCCGAGCGUUAUCCGGAUUUAUUGGGUUUAAAGGGAGCGUAGGCGGACGCUUAAGUCAGUUGUGAAAGUUUGCGGCUCAACCGUAAAAUUGCAGUUGAUACUGGGUGUCUUGAGUACAGUAGAGGCAGGCGGAAUUCGUGGUGUAGCGGUGAAAUGCUUAGAUAUCACGAAGAACUCCGAUUGCGAAGGCAGCUUGCUGGACUGUAACUGACGCUGAUGCUCGAAAGUGUGGGUAUCAAACAGGAUUAGAUACCCUGGUAGUCCACACGGUAAACGAUGAAUACUCGCUGUUUGCGAUAUACGGCAAGCGGCCAAGCGAAAGCGUUAAGUAUUCCACCUGGGGAGUACGCCGGCAACGGUGAAACUCAAAGGAAUUGACGGGGGCCCGCACAAGCGGAGGAACAUGUGGUUUAAUUCGAUGAUACGCGAGGAACCUUACCCGGGCUUAAAUUGCAGAUGAAUUACGGUGAAAGCCGUAAGCCGCAAGGCAUCUGUGAAGGUGCUGCAUGGUUGUCGUCAGCUCGUGCCGUGAGGUGUCGGCUUAAGUGCCAUAACGAGCGCAACCCUUGUUGUCAGUUACUAACAGGUUUUGCUGAGGACUCUGACAAGACUGCCAUCGUAAGAUGUGAGGAAGGUGGGGAUGACGUCAAAUCAGCACGGCCCUUACGUCCGGGGCUACACACGUGUUACAAUGGGGGGUACAGAGGGCCGCUACCACGCGAGUGGAUGCCAAUCCCCAAAACCUCUCUCAGUUCGGACUGGAGUCUGCAACCCGACUCCACGAAGCUGGAUUCGCUAGUAAUCGCGCAUCAGCCACGGCGCGGUGAAUACGUUCCCG
RNAcentral lists this ribosomal RNA (1016 nucleotides) under uncultured bacterium. Its description in RNAcentral is "bacterial SSU rRNA". It matches the Rfam family "Bacterial small subunit ribosomal RNA", at positions 357 to 1376 of the family's 1533-position model. The record is from RNAcentral.